RNAcentral lists this ribosomal RNA (1695 nucleotides) under Escherichia coli 1-176-05_S4_C2. Its description in RNAcentral is "bacterial LSU rRNA". It matches the Rfam family "Bacterial large subunit ribosomal RNA", at positions 1 to 1741 of the family's 2925-position model. Lineage: Bacteria; Pseudomonadati; Pseudomonadota; Gammaproteobacteria; Enterobacterales; Enterobacteriaceae. The record is from RNAcentral.
UUAAGCGACUAAGCGUACACGGUGGAUGCCCUGGCAGUCAGAGGCGAUGAAGGACGUGCUAAUCUGCGAUAAGCGUCGGUAAGGUGAUAUGAACCGUUAUAACCGGCGAUUUCCGAAUGGGGAAACCCAGUGUGUUUCGACACACUAUCAUUAACUGAAUCCAUAGGUUAAUGAGGCGAACCGGGGGAACUGAAACAUCUAAGUACCCCGAGGAAAAGAAAUCAACCGAGAUUCCCCCAGUAGCGGCGAGCGAACGGGGAGCAGCCCAGAGCCUGAAUCAGUGUGUGUGUUAGUGGAAGCGUCUGGAAAGGCGUGCGAUACAGGGUGACAGCCCCGUACACAAAAAUGCACAUGCUGUGAGCUCGAUGAGUAGGGCGGGACACGUGGUAUCCUGUCUGAAUAUGGGGGGACCAUCCUCCAAGGCUAAAUACUCCUGACUGACCGAUAGUGAACCAGUACCGUGAGGGAAAGGCGAAAAGAACCCCGGCGAGGGGAGUGAAAAAGAACCUGAAACCGUGUACGUACAAGCAGUGGGAGCACGCUUAGGCGUGUGACUGCGUACCUUUUGUAUAAUGGGUCAGCGACUUAUAUUCUGUAGCAAGGUUAACCGAAUAGGGGAGCCGAAGGGAAACCGAGUCUUAACUGGGCGUUAAGUUGCAGGGUAUAGACCCGAAACCCGGUGAUCUAGCCAUGGGCAGGUUGAAGGUUGGGUAACACUAACUGGAGGACCGAACCGACUAAUGUUGAAAAAUUAGCGGAUGACUUGUGGCUGGGGGUGAAAGGCCAAUCAAACCGGGAGAUAGCUGGUUCUCCCCGAAAGCUAUUUAGGUAGCGCCUCGUGAAUUCAUCUCCGGGGGUAGAGCACUGUUUCGGCAAGGGGGUCAUCCCGACUUACCAACCCGAUGCAAACUGCGAAUACCGGAGAAUGUUAUCACGGGAGACACACGGCGGGUGCUAACGUCCGUCGUGAAGAGGGAAACAACCCAGACCGCCAGCUAAGGUCCCAAAGUCAUGGUUAAGUGGGAAACGAUGUGGGAAGGCCCAGACAGCCAGGAUGUUGGCUUAGAAGCAGCCAUCAUUUAAAGAAAGCGUAAUAGCUCACUGGUCGAGUCGGCCUGCGCGGAAGAUGUAACGGGGCUAAACCAUGCACCGAAGCUGCGGCAGCGACGCUAUGCGUUGUUGGGUAGGGGAGCGUUCUGUAAGCCUGUGAAGGUGUACUGUGAGGUAUGCUGGAGGUAUCAGAAGUGCGAAUGCUGACAUAAGUAACGAUAAAGCGGGUGAAAAGCCCGCUCGCCGGAAGACCAAGGGUUCCUGUCCAACGUUAAUCGGGGCAGGGUGAGUCGACCCCUAAGGCGAGGCCGAAAGGCGUAGUCGAUGGGAAACAGGUUAAUAUUCCUGUACUUGGUGUUACUGCGAAGGGGGGACGGAGAAGGCUAUGUUGGCCGGGCGACGGUUGUCCCGGUUUAAGCGUGUAGGCUGGUUUUCCAGGCAAAUCCGGAAAAUCAAGGCUGAGGCGUGAUGACGAGGCACUACGGUGCUGAAGCAACAAAUGCCCUGCUUCCAGGAAAAGCCUCUAAGCAUCAGGUAACAUCAAAUCGUACCCCAAACCGACACAGGUGGUCAGGUAGAGAAUACCAAGGCGCUUGAGAGAACUCGGGUGAAGGAACUAGGCAAAAUGGUGCCGUAACUUCGGGA